UACGUAGGCAGCGAGCGUUGUUCGGAAUUACUGGGCGUAAAGAGCGUGUAGGCGGUGUUCCCAGUCUGUUGUGAAAUCUCCCGGCUUAACUGGGAGGGUGCAGCGGAAACUAGAAUGCUAGAGGGUGGGAGAGGUAAGCGGAAUUCCUGGUGUAGCGGUGAAAUGCGUAGAUAUCAGGAGGAACACCUGUGGUGUAGACAGCUUACUGGACCGCUUCUGACGCUGAGACACGAAAGCGUGGGUAGCAAACAGG
This 253-nucleotide ribosomal RNA is filed under the name uncultured bacterium. RNAcentral describes it as "partial 16S ribosomal RNA". It matches the Rfam family "Bacterial small subunit ribosomal RNA", at positions 524 to 776 of the family's 1533-position model. The record is from RNAcentral.